RNAcentral lists this ribosomal RNA (461 nucleotides) under uncultured Anaplasma sp. RNAcentral describes it as "bacterial SSU rRNA". It matches the Rfam family "Bacterial small subunit ribosomal RNA", at positions 100 to 597 of the family's 1533-position model. Lineage: Bacteria; Pseudomonadati; Pseudomonadota; Alphaproteobacteria; Rickettsiales; Anaplasmataceae. The record is from RNAcentral.
GACGGGUGAGUAAUGCAUAGGAAUCUACCUAGUAGUAUGGGAUAGCCACUAGAAAUGGUGGGUAAUACUGUAUAAUCCCUGCGGGGGAAAGAUUUAUCGCUAUUAGAUGAGCCUAUGUUAGAUUAGCUAGUUGGUAGGGUAAAGGCCUACCAAGGCAGUGAUCUAUAGCUGGUCUGAGAGGAUGAUCAGCCACACUGGAACUGAGAUACGGUCCAGACUCCUACGGGAGGCAGCAGUGGGGAAUAUUGGACAAUGGGCGCAAGCCUGAUCCAGCUAUGCCGCGUGAGUGAGGAAGGCCUUAGGGUUGUAAAACUCUUUCAGUGGGGAAGAUAAUGACGGUACCCACAGAAGAAGUCCCGGCAAACUCCGUGCCAGCAGCCGCGGUAAUACGGAGGGGGCAAGCGUUGUUCGGAAUUAUUGGGCGUAAAGGGCAUGUAGGCGGUUCGGUAAGUUAAAGGUGA